RNAcentral lists this ribosomal RNA (292 nucleotides) under uncultured bacterium. RNAcentral's name for it is "partial 16S ribosomal RNA". It matches the Rfam family "Bacterial small subunit ribosomal RNA", at positions 505 to 796 of the family's 1533-position model. The record is from RNAcentral.
GUGCCAGCCGCCGCGGUAAUACGUAGGGUGCGAGCGUUAAUCGGAAUUACUGGGCGUAAAGUGUGCGCAGGCGGCGCCGCAAGUCGAGUGUGAAAGCCCCGAGCUUAACUUGGGAAUUGCGCUCGAAACUAUGGUGCUGGAGUGUGGCAGAGGAAGGUGGAAUUCCACGUGUAGCGGUGAAAUGCGUAGAGAUGUGGAGGAACACCGAUGGCGAAGGCAGCCUUCUGGGCCAACACUGACGCUCAUGCACGAAAGCGUGGGGAGCAAACAGGAUUAGAUACCCCCGUAGUCC